Long non-coding RNA from Oryctolagus cuniculus (rabbit), 557 nucleotides. RefSeq lists it as uncharacterized. The record is from RefSeq and is a predicted model, not a curated record. Lineage: Eukaryota; Metazoa; Chordata; Mammalia; Lagomorpha; Leporidae.
CCCACCUACCCCAGGGGCGGGGGAUAAAAAGGAAGCCUCACCACUGCUCUGCAUCCCCUCAGGGACCAUGGCCCAGUCAAGUGAAACUCUGCCAAGUCUCCACUGACUGAAGCUCUGCUCAUCACUCCACUGGAGCCAACCUCUCAUCAGGUGACCUCUCCAACCUUUCACCUUGCUGUUUGUCUUGGAAUUUCAAGCCUACUGCCCAGAGUGCCAGUCAUCCCACGACUCCUGCCUGAAAAGCCACUGCCUGCAGUGACAGCAUCCUGAAUGGGUACCGGUUCAAGUCCCAGCUGCUCCACUUCUGAUCCAGCUCUCUGCUAUGGCCUGGGAAAGCAGUAGAAGACGACCCAAGUCCUUGGGCCCCUGCACCUGCUUGGGAGACCUGGAAGAAUCUCCUGGCUCCUGGCUUUGGAUCAGCCCAGCUCUGGCCAUUGAGGCUAUCUGGGGAGUGAACCAUCGGAUGGAAGACCUCUCUCUCUCUCUCUCUCUGCCUCUCUGUAAAUCUGCCUUUCAAAUAAAUAAAUAAAUCUCUAAAAAAUAUAUUAAUAAAACUA